RNAcentral lists this ribosomal RNA (253 nucleotides) under uncultured bacterium. RNAcentral describes it as "partial 16S ribosomal RNA". It matches the Rfam family "Bacterial small subunit ribosomal RNA", at positions 524 to 776 of the family's 1533-position model. The record is from RNAcentral.
UACGGAGGGGGUUAGCGUUGUUCGGAAUGACUGGGCGUAAAGCGCGCGUAGGCGGACCAUCAAGUCGGGGGUGAAAUCCCGGGGCUCAACCCCGGAAUGGCCUUCGAGACUGGUGGUCUUGAGUUCGAGAGAGGUGAGUGGAAUUCCGAGUGUAGAGGUGAAAUUCGUAGAUAUUCGGAGGAACACCAGUGGCGAAGGCGGCUUACUGGCUCGACACUGACGCUGAGGUGCGAAAGCGUGGGGAGCAAACAGG